CGUUGGGGGUUGUUUCUGCAUGCGAGUGGACCGAGGUGACUAGAAUAUCACUUGCAUGUCGAAAGAUGAGGACGAGUGAGUAGCGCGUGGUAAUCGCGCAUGUAAGAGUGGCAUAUGUGUGAGAAGCCGAAGAUUAUGGCAUAUAGCUUGGAAUCCUUCAUAAUGAUGGAUGGAAGAUGGUUUCGCCUAUCGGGUGCAGAUGGGCCCGCGGCGCAUUAGUUAGUUGGUGAGGUAACGGCUCACCAAGGAGGUAAUGCAUAGCCGACGUGAGAGGGUGAUCGCCCCCUGUGGGGGUGAGCCACGGCCCAGGGUCUUACGGGAGGCACCAGUUGGGAAUGUUUGGCAAAGGGGGAAAUUUUGCCCAAGCAGCGCCACCUGAGUGAAGAAGCCUUUCGGGUGGUAAAACUCCGUUGUUAGGGAAGACCUAGUUCAAGAGUGAAGGAUCGAACCUGGCCGGUCCUUCACCAGAAAGCCCCGGGUUAAUUCCGUGCCACCACCCCCGGUAAUCGGUAGGUGGCAAGCGUUUUCCGGAAUUAUUGGGCGUAAAGCGCGCGCAGGCGGUUUCUUAAGUUUGAUGUGAAAGCCGGGGGCUCAACCGUGGAGGGUCAUUGGAAACUGGGGAACUUGAGUCCAGAAGAGAAAAUGGGAAUUCCGCGUGUAGCGGUGAAAUGCGUAGAGAUGUGGAGGACCACCAUUGGGGAAGCAGGUUUUUUGGUCGGUACUUGCCGUUGAGGCGCGAAACCGUGGGGGAGCAACCAGGAUUAGAUCCCUUGGUAGUCCACGCCGUAACCGAUGAGUGCUAAGUGUUAGACGGUUCCCGCCCUUCAGUGCUGCAGCUAACGCAUUAAGCACUCCGCCUG
Molecule: ribosomal RNA, 860 nt
Filed under: Bacillus sp. (in: firmicutes)
Lineage: Bacteria; Bacillati; Bacillota; Bacilli; Caryophanales; Bacillaceae
Description: bacterial SSU rRNA
Rfam family: Bacterial small subunit ribosomal RNA
Source: RNAcentral